Molecule: ribosomal RNA, 253 nt
Filed under: uncultured bacterium
Lineage: Bacteria
Description: partial 16S ribosomal RNA
Rfam family: Bacterial small subunit ribosomal RNA
Source: RNAcentral
UACGAAGGGGGCUAGCGUUGUUCGGAAUUACUGGGCGUAAAGCGCACGUAGGCGGACUGUUAAGUUGGGGGUGAAAGCCCAGGGCUCAACCCUGGAAUUGCCUUCGAUACUGGCAGUCUCGAGAAUGGGAGAGGUGAGUGGAAUUCCUAGUGUAGAGGUGAAAUUCGUAGAUAUUAGGAAGAACACCAGUGGCGAAGGCGGCUCACUGGACCAUUUCUGACGCUGAGGUGCGAAAGCGUGGGGAGCAAACAGG